GAUGAACGCUGGCGGCGUGCCUAAUACAUGCCAGUCGAGCGAACGGACGAGAAGCUUGCUUCUCUGAUGUUAGCGGCGGACGGGUGAGUAACACGUGGAUAACCUACCUAUAAGACUUGGAUAACUUCGGGAAACCGGAGCUAAUACCGGAUAAUAUUUUGAACCGCAUGGUUCAAAAGUGAAAGACGGUCUUGCUGUCACUUAUAGAUGGAUCCGCGCUGCAUUAGCUAGUUGGUAAGGUAACGGCUUACCAAGGCAACGAUGCAUAGCCGACCUGAGAGGGUGAUCGGCCACACUGGAACUGAGACACGGUCCAGACUCCUACGGGAGGCAGCAGUAGGGAAUCUUCCGCAAUGGGCGAAAGCCUGACGGAGCAACGCCGCGUGAGUGAUGAAGGUCUUCGGAUCGUAAAACUCUGUUAUUAGGGAAGAACAUAUGUGUAAGUAACUGUGCACAUCUUGACGGUACCUAAUCAGAAAGCCACGGCUAACUACGUG
This 497-nucleotide ribosomal RNA is filed under the name uncultured bacterium. RNAcentral describes it as "partial 16S ribosomal RNA". It matches the Rfam family "Bacterial small subunit ribosomal RNA", at positions 28 to 507 of the family's 1533-position model. The record is from RNAcentral.